CAGAUAUUCCCUUCGUCCGAAAAUACUUGUCAUGGAAAUGGAUGUAUAUAUAUGUGUAUUUUAGUUAUAGAUACAUUUAUUUUUAUAUAUUUGUGCGACAAGUAAUUCUGAACGGAGGAACUACUUG
This 127-nucleotide microRNA precursor is filed under the name Hordeum vulgare. RNAcentral describes it as "microRNA MIR1122". It matches the Rfam family "MIR1120/MIR1122 microRNA precursor family". Lineage: Eukaryota; Viridiplantae; Streptophyta; Magnoliopsida; Poales; Poaceae. The record is from RNAcentral.